UUCACCUGGCUUUACCCCACCCACCCCCGCAGUCCUUCCAAAAAUUUGGGUGGCGCAGGACGCUUUUUGGAAAUCCAUUUUACCCGCGGCUAAUCCCCAACUCGACAUGCAACUGAAUUCCUGUUCUUUGAGAAUAGAUCUUAGACCUCCCCCGUAGACAGAGAUGAAAUAUUUCACAGGAUGACGGGGUGUCCAGAAAUAUUUGUGGCUGCCCCUCCUUUAUGAUUUCAUCAGUAUUUAUGAACAUGUCUCUUCCCCAAUUAAUUUUGGCCUUUGCAUUUGCUGCACCCGAAUCAUUUGCAGUAAUUGAUCAGCUUCACAAUCAGAUGCAGCUAUUACAGCAACACCACAGUCAGCUGCAGUCACGUGAUUGUGAUUUCCAAUGCUCUCUGCCAGCUUCCCACAAAGUCAGUGAAUUGGAAGACACUCUUGUUCCCACUGCUGUUCUGCCAACCCAUGGUUGUUUUAUAUUUAGGUAAGUAAAUAUUCAUAAAGGAUAAUCCAAAGGUUGUAGGUUGUCUAAUACACAUUAACAUGAAAAAUCACCUACAAUACUGAAUAGUAGGAACAAAGCAACUCUGGGAAAUAACAUUUUGAAUAGAACCAAAAUAUUUCAUCAAUUGAAUCAAUCAAUCAAUCUAUCUAUCUAUCUAUCCAUCCAUCUAUCUAUCUAUCAUUUACUACCUACCUACCUAUGUAUGAAUGCAGUGUUUGUCAUUACACAUGCACUACAUUUGGCUGAAUUUAUAGCUGAUUCCAAUGGCAAACCUGACAUCAAUUUUAAAGAAGGAAAACAAAG
This is a long non-coding RNA of Ahaetulla prasina, 799 nucleotides long. RefSeq lists it as uncharacterized. The transcript is spliced from 3 exons. NCBI's taxonomy places the organism in Eukaryota, Metazoa, Chordata, Lepidosauria, Squamata, Colubridae. The record is from RefSeq and is a predicted model, not a curated record.